RNAcentral lists this ribosomal RNA (253 nucleotides) under uncultured bacterium. RNAcentral's name for it is "partial 16S ribosomal RNA". It matches the Rfam family "Bacterial small subunit ribosomal RNA", at positions 524 to 776 of the family's 1533-position model. The record is from RNAcentral.
UACAGGGGGGGCAAGCGUUGUUCGGAAUUACUGGGCGUAAAGGGUUCGUAGGUGGCCAACUAAGUCAGACGUGAAAUCCCUCAGCUUAACUGGGGAACUGCGUCUGAAACUGGUUGGCUUGAGUGCAGGAGAGGAAUGCGGAAUUCCAGGUGUAGCGGUGAAAUGCGUAGAUAUCUGGAGGAACACCGGUGGCGAAGGCGGCAUCCUGGACCGACAUUGACGCUGAGGCGCGAAAGCCAGGGGAGCAAACGGG